Molecule: long non-coding RNA, 916 nt
Organism: Balaenoptera ricei (Rice's whale)
Lineage: Eukaryota; Metazoa; Chordata; Mammalia; Artiodactyla; Balaenopteridae
Exons: 4
Source: RefSeq, a predicted model, not a curated record
GCUGUGGCAGAAUGCAUCUCGCCUGACUCCAGCCAGCUGCAGGUGUCUGAAAGAGGGUUGAAGAUGGUCAGAUGCUAAGGGCAGAGCCCCUCUUCUUCUCUCCAACCCCAAGCCCCAAGUGCCAGGGUAAGAAAGCUGAGAUUCAGAAGGGUUCUGCACAAGAGAGCCAAUUUUUGGAUGCUGCCACGCAGAGAGAGACAACAGCCAGCCAGUCUUGAAGAGCAGCAGCCAACCAACAGAGAGACGGCCACUUCCCCAUGGCCUCCCGGUCCCUGUCCACAGCCCCGCCGCAGACAGGAGCAGGGGGGUAGUGGCAGAGGACAGACCGCCUUCUGCCACCCUCCACUCAGGCCACCAGGGCCAUGGCCACGUCUAGCUUCCCUGGGAGUGGAGGCCGAGAGCUUUGAAGGAGAGCUUGACCUGGACAUUUUUAAGUACCAGCCUGUGUAAUCCUCACAGCAGCUGCGAGAAUAAGAGCUGCACCUGCCAGAGGCCACCCGGUUAGAAAGAGGUGGUGCUGGGAUCUGCAUCCACUGGCCAUCUCUGGAGACCACCAUGAGCCAGGGCCCCUGGUGAUGGCCCAGGGAAGGGGCAGGUGCGGCGCUGUGGAAGGUCGGAGGAGGGCAGAGGCAAAGAAGGCCAUGGAAACGACCGAACGUUAACCCACUGAAGACCCGCCACCCCAUUAACUGGCUAGAAUGGAGGUGUUCCUGCGGCUCCACUGAACAGAAACAGAUCCUGAGAUCCUGAGACCUUAAGGUAAGUGUCUGAACACUGUCACCAUGUACAACGUCUGUCUGUUGCUUUACUGUACAAUCAGAGCGAGAAACAAAUGCAUUCAAUGCUGUGGAGGUAGAAGACACCGUGGUUGCUACCCCAACCCCAAAUGUCUGCAUCAGGACCAGCUGAGCUCUUC